RNAcentral lists this long non-coding RNA (4523 nucleotides) under Solanum tuberosum (potato). RNAcentral describes it as "long non-coding RNA (STUB_LNC009751)". The record is from RNAcentral. Lineage: Eukaryota; Viridiplantae; Streptophyta; Magnoliopsida; Solanales; Solanaceae.
UUUAAUAACCUAUUUCCAGGAACAAAUAAUAAAAAGGGAAAAACAAAACAAAUAAAUAAAAAGAAGUGAUUUAAGAAAAUAAUAUGAAUAACAUUAAUGGUGAGAUUAAGGGAAGCAAGUAAAAGAAAAUAAUAGCUUGAUGAUGACAGGAAUUAAAUAAGGUCAUUUUAGAUUUUAUAAAUAUAUAUUAAAUUUUGUUUUGCGAUUACAAAUUUAUAAUAAUAUAUUUUCAGGAAUAAAUAAAUAAAAUAAGAGAAAAAAACAAAGAAAAGAAAAGAAGUUAUUUAAGGAAAUAAUAUAAAUAGCAUUAAUGAUGAGAUUAAGGGAAGACAGUAAAAGAAAUUAAUAGCACUAAUGAUAGGAAUUAUAUAUGGUAAUUUUUUAUAUUUUAUAAAAUUUUAAGGUAAAUUGUUUUGUCUUUUAAAAUUAGGGAAAAUGUCAUUAAAAUAAAAUAAAUAUCAUGGAAUAAUAUUUUUUUAAGAGUAACUUCAUCUUUAAGCAAUGAUUAUGAUAAAAAAAAAAAGUAUAGAAAAUUCAAAAUAAUUGACAUAAAUAAAUAAAUAUCAAUGCUUGACUAAGAAGGGUGUCAUCAUAUUUUUUAUUUGAGGUAUUAUUACAUAUAAAUAUAAAUCUUUAGUAAAAGAAAUGGUCUGAAAAAUGACAAAUCAAAUUCUGUAAAUAUAUAUAUACAAUUCGUAUAAAGUUAUAAUAAGUAAUUUCUUGAAAUAAAUAUACAUUAAAUUUUAUUUUGCAAUUCUUAUUAAGUUAUAACAACAUAUUUCUAUGAAUUAAAAAAAAGAAGAAGGAAAAGAAGUGAUUUAAGGAAAUAAUAUAAAUAACAUUAAUGAUUAAAUUAAGGGAAGGAAGUAAAAAGAGUUAAUAGCACUAAUGAUGGUAGGAAUUAUAUAUGGUAUUUUUUAUAUUUUAUAAAAUUUAUCCAGUCUUUUAAAAUUUGGAAAUUCGUAUAAAGUUAUAAUAACUAAUUUCAUGAAAUAAAUUAAUAAUAAUAAAAAGAAGUGAUUUAAGAAAAUGAUAUAAAUUAUUAAUUAUAAAAUUAAGACAAGAAAGUAAAAGAGAUUUAUAGCAUUGAUGAUGAAAUGAAUUAAAUAUGACUGCCUUAUAUAUAUAUAUAUUCAAACAAACAAAAAAGGCAAAUCAAAUUCUGUAAAUUUUAUUUUGCAAUUUUGGUUAAGUUAUAAUAACUUAUUUUUAGGAAUAAAUAAAUAAAAUAAACAAAAAAAGGAAAAAAAGUGAUUUAAGGAAAUAAUAUAAAUAACAUUGAUGAUGAGAUUAAGGGAGUGAAGUAAGAGAAAUUAAUAGCAUACAGAAUCAAAUAUGAUAAUUUAAAAUUAGAAAAAAGCUAAAUAAAUAAAUAUUGAGGCAUAAUUUUUUUUGGGAGAAUAACGUCAUUGUUUAGUAAUUACUAGUAUAUGUACGCGCGGUUAGUUGAUAAAUGUAAUCGUAAAUACUAAUUUAUUGACAAUUUUAAAUUUAACUUAGUAUAAAAUGAUAUUGUAAAUUUUACAUGAGAGAAUGUUAUUAUUUAGCACUUUGAUAGAUUAUAAUAGAAUUCUUAUGCAAGUAAAUCGUUAUUUAAACUUAUUUCAUUAUUUAAAUUUGACAAUAAUAUUUAAUAUUAUUUCAUUUAUUUAUUUUAUAAAUUAUUCAAAAUCAUAAAUACUCUCACCACAUUCAUAUUAUUCCAUUGUCAUAAUAAUAAAGAUAUAAGAAAAUUUAAUCUUUAGAUUAAAAUAAAUAUAACUUAGAAAAGUUCUACAAUUAUAAUAAUGCUAAACAUAAAAUUUAAUUUAAAAAGUUUUAUCACUUAAAUAUCAAAUUGUAGGAAUAUUAUUCAAAAAUUUAAAUUUUGUAUUUCGAUUUUUCUAAACAAUCAUAUAUCAAUUAUAUGAUAUUAAAAAUAAUUAUAUAUUUAUAUGAUUUUUUAGUACUAUAUAAUUCUUUUAGUUGGAUGAUAUUGUUAUAAAUUUAUUUCCAAAAAUUAAUUAAUUUGGUUGCUUUCCAUCCAAAGUAUUUUUUUUUUUAUAUAUGAUAUGUUUUGCGCGAAUAUUAUGAGAAGACAAUUUUAAUAAAACUAAAUGUAAGAACGAAAAGUGUCAAUUUGACUUUUUUUGUUUACCAUUACUUGGCUUAAUGAGGAUCCUUUUUUCCCUUUCUUUUAAUAAUAUUUAAAAAAUAUAGAUAUUAAAAGAUAUAUAUAACUCUAAAUUAACCAACUAUAUUACAUAAUUCAUUUGUUUACUUAUAAACUUACUUGUUAACUUAAAUAAUUAAAAAUAUAUAUUUCUCAAUUGAAGUUUAAAGUAAUAAAAUUCGAAAUGCUAAAUAAUCUAAAGUAAAAUAAUAGAAAUAAAUUACUACUUUAAUCCAAACUAACUGACUAUAUUACAUAGUUUAUUUAUUUAUAACUUUUCUUUUCAACAUAGAAUUUAAAAUAUAAAUUGUUUUAUUGUAAAUUUAAUUUGUUUUUUUUUGUGAAAACAUCUUCAUUUAUUUUAAUUUUAUACUCUUUUUACAUUUUUCUUGUAAUUUUAUCCAUAAACGAUUUUAACUUAAUUUUUAAUUCUAUGAAACAAACUUAAAUUUAAAAUAAUUACAUUAAUUCUAAACUAACAAACUAAAAUAUAUAAUUUAUUUACAUAUAACUUUCUUCUCAACUUAGAGUUCACAAUUUAUAUUUUUUAUUGUAUGUUUAAAUUUUUUGUAAAAAUAGUUGCAUUUAUUUUUAUUUUAUCCUCUUUUUAAUAAUCUUUCUUGUAUUUUUAUCCAUGAACACUUUUAACUUAAUUUUUCAUUUUAUUCAGAAAAUUUAAAAUAAUUAUUAACAUAUUCCGUCAUUUUCAUAUAAUUUAUGCUAUUAUCAAUUUAAGGGUCUAUUAAAAAUAAUUUAACAUCUACACAUAUUUUUUUUCUUUUUGUGGACCCACUUUAUGAAAUAACACUAUGUAUAUUAUUAUUUGUAUUGUUACUUAAUGUUGAAUUCAUGCAUGUCUCUUUCUCUUUUCUAAACUAACAAACUAUAUUAUAUAAUUUAUUUAUUUAUAACUCUCUAUUCAAAUUAGAAUUCAAAAUUUAUAUUUUUUGUUUAAGUUUAAAUAUUUUUGCAAAAAUAACUGCAUUUAUUUUUAUUUAUCCUCUUUUUAUAUUUUUUUUCUUGUAAUUUUAUUCAAGAACGAUUCUAACUUAAUUUUUUAUUCCAUGUAGUAAAUUUAAAUUAAUAAUUAACAUAUCUCAUUACUCUCAUUUAGUUUAUGAUAUUAUCAAUUUAGUGUCUGCAUAUAUUGUUUUCCUAUUGUAGAUCCAAUUUAUGAAAUUAGAUCGAGUAUAUUGUUAUUUAUAUUAUCAAUUAAUGUUGAAUUUAUGUAUGUAGCUUUCUCUUCUUCUUUUUGGCUAGUACAGUAAGAGUAAUACUUAAUCAAUAUAAUUUACAAUGAUCAAGUUUGCUAUAAAAAAUUAUCUUAUCAUUCUAAGUAAUAUAGCUUAAUUAUGAUAAGUUACCUCAAGAUGACUUAGAAAAACCUCUCAUGACCUACCUGAUGGCCAGCGCCGAUGGAGGUCCACCAUUGACAGUGGUUGGCCCUCCUUUAUUAACUAAUCCUUCCGAGUUUCCAUUCCUAGGUGGGAAUAAUUCACAAACUUUGCAGGCACCUAAUCGCUCUUUUGACUUCGGAAAAAACUUUCUUUAUCAAUAUACUGUUUCUUUUACACACAUCUCCAUAAUCGAAAAUGGUAAUAGUUAGGAUUCAUUAAAAAAAUCGAGAACCCACUCAUGGGACAAGAAACCCUUCCCGCAUCAGGCACUAAUAAAUUUUUAACGUCUAAUUAGAUCGGGAAUCAUUCAAAUUAAGAACAAAAGCUCGUUGCUUUUUCUUUCCCUAUAAUUUAAUUGAAGCCGCAGCCUUAUCCAUUUAUUCAUUCGACCCAACUUUAUUUUGUUCCGUUCCAAGAAUUCUAACACAGUUUUAUACCCAUCUAGGAACAAUGAAAUAUUUUCAGAACUUUCCGUUGAUACGACAUGCUAUUUUUACCAUUCAUUCCCUUUCAGGAUCAUUCGCGGUCUUCCAAACUUUACCGAGAGUAUGGACGAAUCCCUCACUUCAUCCAUAUGUGUAAAAGACACUAGCCGCACUUAAAAGCCGAGUACUCUACCGUUGAGUUAGCAACCCGAAGAAAAUUAUGUAGAUCCAAUCCGAAGAAAAAGAAAUAACUAGAGUAGACAAGACAACCAGUAAAGAUAUUACUUUUUCAGAUUUGUUACAAUCACAGGAGGAGUCAUUAGAGGCACCAACAAAAUCAGAGGGAUCGUUUGGUAGAGUGUAUAAGAACAAUACAAAAUAGAGUGCAUUAGUAGUGCUUGCAUUAGUUAUGCCUGCAUUAUUUCUUAUACACUGUUUGGUUUGAUGUAUUAGAAAUAACAAAUCUGCAUAAUUUCUAUUAGAAAAAAUGUAUGUUUACAAAAAUACCCUUCCCACUUUAUUUCUUUGUACACUUCCUUUGCAACAAGG